UAGGGAAACCGAGUCUUAACUGGGCGAAUGAGUUGCAGGGUAUAGACCCGAAACCCGGUGAUCUAGCCAUGGGCAGGUUGAAGGUUGGGUAACACUAACUGGAGGACCGAACCGACUAAUGUUGAAAAAUUAGCGGAUGACUUGUGGCUGGGGGUGAAAGGCCAAUCAAACCGGGAGAUAGCUGGUUCUCCCCGAAAGCUAUUUAGGUAGCGCCUCGUGAACUCAUCUUCGGGGGUAGAGCACUGUUUCGACUAGGGGGUCAUCCCGACUUACCAACUCGAUGCAAACUACGAAUACCGAAGAAUGUUAUCACGGGAGACACACGGCGGGUGCUAACGUUCGUCGUGAAGAGGGAAACAACCCAGACCGCCAGCUAAGGUCCCAAAGUCAUAGUUAAGUGGGAAACGAAGUGGGAAGGCUCAGACAGCCAGGAUGUUGGCUUAGAAGCAGCCAUCAUUUAAAGAAAGCGUAAUAGCUCACUGGUCGAGUCGGCCUGCGCGGAAGAUGUAACGGGGCUAAACUAU
Molecule: ribosomal RNA, 524 nt
Filed under: Providencia rettgeri
Lineage: Bacteria; Pseudomonadati; Pseudomonadota; Gammaproteobacteria; Enterobacterales; Morganellaceae
Description: partial 23S ribosomal RNA
Rfam family: Bacterial large subunit ribosomal RNA
Source: RNAcentral